CCUACGGGAGGCAGCAGUGAGGAAUAUUGGUCAAUGAACGCUAGCCUGAACCAGCCAAGUAGCGUGAAGGAUGACUGCCCUAUGGGUUGUAAACUUCUUUUAUAUGGGAAUAAAAUGACGUACGUGUACUUCUUUGCAUGUACUUUAUGAAUAAGGAUCGGCUAACUACGUGCCAGCAGCCGCGGUACUACGGAGGAUCCGAGCGUUAUCCGGAUUUAUUUGGUUUAAAGGGAGCGUAGACGGGUUGUUAAGUCAGUUGUGAAAGUUUGCGGCUCAACCGUAAAAUUGCAAUUGAUACUGGCAGUCUUGAGUACAGUAGAGGUAGGCGGAAUUCGUGGUGUAGCGGUGAAAUGCUUAGAUAUCACGAAGAACCCCGAUUGCGAAGGCAGCUUGCUAAACUGUAACUGACGCUGAUGCUCGAAAGUGUGGGUAUCAAACAGGAUUAGAUACCCUUGUAGUC
RNAcentral lists this ribosomal RNA (460 nucleotides) under uncultured bacterium. RNAcentral's name for it is "partial 16S ribosomal RNA". It matches the Rfam family "Bacterial small subunit ribosomal RNA", at positions 338 to 795 of the family's 1533-position model. The record is from RNAcentral.